Molecule: ribosomal RNA, 301 nt
Filed under: uncultured bacterium
Lineage: Bacteria
Description: partial 16S ribosomal RNA
Rfam family: Bacterial small subunit ribosomal RNA
Source: RNAcentral
CAGUAGCCACGGUAAUACGAAGGGUGCAAGCGUUAAUCGGAAUUACCGGGCGUAAAGCGUGCGUAGGCGGUGAGUUAAGUCUGCUGUGAAAUCCCCGGGCUCAACCUGGGAAUGGCAGUGGAUACUGGCUCGCUAGAGUGUGUCAGAGGAUGGUGGAAUUCCCGGUGCAGCGGUGAAAUGCGUAGAGAUCGGGAGGAACAUCAGUGGCGAAGGCGGCCAUCUGGGACAACACUGACGCUGAGGCACGAAAGCGUGGGGAGCAAACAGGAUUAGAUACCCCCGUAGUCCCUGUCUCUUAUAC